This 223-nucleotide ribosomal RNA is filed under the name uncultured bacterium. Its description in RNAcentral is "partial 16S ribosomal RNA". It matches the Rfam family "Bacterial small subunit ribosomal RNA", at positions 15 to 228 of the family's 1533-position model. The record is from RNAcentral.
GAUCAUGGCUCAGGACGAACGCUGGCGGCGUGCCUAAUACAUGCAAGUAGAACGCUGAAGAGAGGAGCUUGCUCUUCUUGGAUGAGUUGCGAACGGGUGAGUAACGCGUAGGUAACCUGCCUGGUAGCGGGGGAUAACUAUUGGAAACGAUAGCUAAUACCGCAUAAUAGCAGUUAUUGCAUGAUAACUGUUUGAAAGGUGCAAAUGCAUCACUACCAGAUGG